Molecule: ribosomal RNA, 255 nt
Filed under: uncultured bacterium
Lineage: Bacteria
Description: partial 16S ribosomal RNA
Rfam family: Bacterial small subunit ribosomal RNA
Source: RNAcentral
UACGUAGGGUGCGAGCGUUGUCCGGAAUUACUGGGCGUAAAGAGCUCGUAGGUGGUUUGUCGCGUUGUUCGUGAAAACUCACAGCUCAACUGUGGGCGUGCGGGCGAUACGGGCAGACUAGAGUACUGCAGGGGGAGACUGGAAUUCCUGGUGUAGCGGUGGAAUGCGCAGAUAUCAGGAGGAACACCGGUGGCGAAGGCGGGUCUCUGGGCAGUAACUGACGCUGAGGAGCGAAAAGCGUGGGGAGCGAACAGG